This 492-nucleotide ribosomal RNA is filed under the name uncultured bacterium. Its description in RNAcentral is "partial 16S ribosomal RNA". It matches the Rfam family "Bacterial small subunit ribosomal RNA", at positions 29 to 507 of the family's 1533-position model. The record is from RNAcentral.
AGUGAACGCUGGCGGUAGGCCUAACACAUGCAAGUCGAACGGCAGCACAGUAAGAGCUUGCUCUUACGGGUGGCGAGUGGCGGACGGGUGAGGAAUACAUCGGAAUCUACUUUUUCGUGGGGGAUAACGUAGGGAAACUUACGCUAAUACCGCAUACGACCUACGGGUGAAAGCAGGGGAUCUUCGGACCUUGCGCGAUUGAAUGAGCCGAUGUCGGAUUAGCUAGUUGGCGGGGUAAAGGCCCACCAAGGCGACGAUCCGUAGCUGGUCCGAGAGGAUGAUCAGCCACACUGGAACUGAGACACGGUCCAGACUCCUACGGGAGGCAGCAGUGGGGAAUAUUGGACAAUGGGCGCAAGCCUGAUCCAGCCAUACCGCGUGAGUGAAGAAGGCCUUCGGGUUGUAAAGCCCUUUUGUUGGGAAAGAAAAGCAGCAGGUUAAUACCCCGCUGUUCUGACGGUACCCAAAGAAUAAGCACCGGCUAACUUCGUG